CAUUUCCCAGCAGACCUUGCUCCUGGGCAGGCCGGCCGCCUGACAAGUCUGGGAGUUCUAGAUCCCAACACCUAGAGAACCCAGCUUCAUUCCUUCUGCCCUUUCCCGAGUAUGAAUCUCUGCCCUUCUUCUUCCUCCGCCCCAGGCCCCACUUUCCAUCCCCAGGAUUCUCCUGCGGACUCCCCCUACUCCUCCGUAAGUGAGCGAGGGUCUCGGGGAUCCUGGGAUAGCGCUACACCUCCCAGCUACACCCUGCAGGAGGGAGAAUCGCCGGAGCAGGCGCGUGGCCUUCACCCCACCAACCUCGAUGUCCAGAUAGAUUCGCUUACCAGCAUGUUGGCUGACAUGGAGGGCACCCAGCAACGCCGGAGCGAACGAGCCGUGAGGAAGCUGAGGGAUGGGAGGACGAGAUGGGGAUGGGGGGGCGGUGCCUGGGGGGGGGUGUUGUGUCCCCCCCCCCAAAAAAAUUCUUUACUUGGGACCCUGAUUGUUUUACCCGUUUUUUUGCAGAACACGGAAUCUGCACCGUAUCCACCUCUGCAGCCUGGUACUCCCAAACCCAGCCCGGCUUCGGCUACUUACAAGCCCACCCUCUCGGGCGGCUUUGUGGCCCCCAAGCCGGAUGCCAAGACCCUGCCUUACGGAGGCCCACCAGGCUCUGGAUCCCCUUACCCAGCCACCCCAGUGCUUCCCUGCCAGUACGGCUCACCCGGCUUGGGGGAUGUCUACGGAUACCACCGUGCCCCGUUGGCACCCAAGCCGUACCCCCAGCCAAUGCCCGCCUCAUACGCCACGGCGUCCUCCUCAGCUGGGCCCCCCUUCAAUGUCCAGGUGAAGGUGGCCAAACCGGUGCUGGGCUACAACCAGCCCAGGCGCAGGGCCGAGCCGGCGUAUGGGCCCCCGUCCCCGCAACUAGGAUAUGGAGGGAAACCUCCCCCGCAAUAUGCCACCGAACCGGGGUCCCGUCCGCGCCCCCAUGAGGCCGAGCCUUGGUACCCAGAGCCUCCCUCCUAUGGCCAGCAACUGGGCGAGGGGGAAUUCUAUGCCGGCCCUGCAGGGCAGGGAAGGUUGGCACCGGCGGGGCAGUUCCAGUCUGGAUUGGUGAAAGCUGGGAAGGACGAGUUGACGGUGCCUCCGGUUCCUGCUGGCAUUGGGGGGCUGAGGUUCCCCCAUCAGGUAAUUCUAGCUGCUGGGGAUAAUGGGGAAGGGGAAGGCUGGGUAGGGGUCUUUCUGGGGAAGGGGGCUUCCAUCCAGGAAUGGAAUGCAGGAGGGAAAGAAUGAAUGCUAGAGAAAUUCAGCUUGUGUAUGAGAAUGAGGCUGAGGACAACUCCUCCUCAACAGUUCCCAGAGUCUAUGUUUUGUGCGGCAAGUCAAGGUAGUUCUUGACAUACUGAGCCCAACAUUUCCAUUGUCAAGCAAGAUGCUUGUUAAAUGAGUUUUGCCCCUUUGACAACCUUCCUCGCUGCCGUUCUUAUGUGGAUCCCUGCUGUUGUUAAGUGAGUCGCUCGGUUGUUAAGCAAAUCUGGCUUCCCCAUUGGCUUGGCUCAUUGGAAGCUUGGAAAAGGGGGAUCCCGCGACCCCCGGAAGCCCAACCUGUCGUAAAUACAAGUCCGUUGCCAAGCGCCUGAAUGUUGAUCACAUGCCCAUGGGAUGCUGCCAUGGUCGUAAGUGCGAAAAACAGUCAUAAGUCACUGUUUUGGGGGGGGCAUUGUAAUUUUGAGUGGUUACUAAACGGUUGGAAGUUACCUGUAUAGGAGGCCCAGUGGCUUAAAUUCCUGAGGAAUUUGUUGGUGGCAAACCGGAUUGCACUUGGCCCAUGCUCAGGAGCCGUGCCUGCAUCCUCAUUUAACCCGGGGCGUGUUGGGGGGGGGGGAUGUUUCAUGCUUCUCAGUUGCCCAGCUUAGUGACCGCCAUUCUCCCAGUCUCCCCUCUCUUUCCCGCAGCUUCCCUUGUGCCGCCCAGAAGAGGAGCUGGACCGUCUGACCAAGAAAUUGAUGUACGACCUGAACAAUCCUCCCACCGCGGAAUAUUUUGGUGGGUUUCUCGGAGCCUUUAAAAAUUUAGCGAUUGAAAACCAAAAAAAACCCCCCAAAGUUCGUCUUUUUUUUAACGGAGCCUCUAGGUGCAAGAGCAGUCUAUCUCGAAAUGCUAUCGCUGGACGGAAUAGCCACGCGGGAAGCUCCCCUUGGCUUGUUUUCAGGGGAAACUUGGAUCUUUUCGACUCAAC
Long non-coding RNA from Pseudonaja textilis, 2227 nucleotides. Lineage: Eukaryota; Metazoa; Chordata; Lepidosauria; Squamata; Elapidae. The record is from Ensembl.